Molecule: long non-coding RNA, 609 nt
Filed under: Catharus ustulatus (Swainson's thrush)
Lineage: Eukaryota; Metazoa; Chordata; Aves; Passeriformes; Turdidae
Description: lncRNA (ENSCUSG00005006274.1)
Source: RNAcentral
GCUGCGCGCACUCCCCGCCGUGGUGGGAUGCGGCGCGUCCCGCCCCCCUCCCAUCCCCGCUCGCGCUUUCCGCGUGUUUUCCGCCGGGUCCCUCCGCGCCGCCGCGCAAGGGGCGCGCACGCCCCAACUUCGCCACUCGGGGCAAGAAGUUGCGCUGGGGCCGCACCCCCCUCUCCCCCCGCGCCGUGCCCGGCUGCCCGUUCCCCCUUCCCCGGGCACCUGUUGCGGCUUCACGCCCGCGCAGCCCCUUCCGCAGGCGCGGAACCCCGCGCCGUGCAUCCGCCCCCACCGCGGGUCCCUGGGACGCGUUUCGCCCAUCCCCCCCACCAUUCUUUUUUUAUUUAUUUUUUUUUUUUUCCUGAAACGAAGUGUUUGAAUAAACACCCGCGCCUCCCCAGCUCAGCCCGGCGCAACUUCUCGCUGCGCGGGUGCGGACCGCGCAUCCUUCAGGCGCGUGUGUGCGCGCACGUCCCGCUCCCGCGCAGCCCCGCGGUGCGGAGCCUCGGGACGGAGGCGCGGCUCGCUGCGCGCCGCGGAGCCGCCGCCGGUGCCCGUCUCCUGAGAACAUUUUUUCUGAGUGACUCCGGCUUCCAGACACAUUUGCCAUGA